GUGACAACUGCUUUGAAACUGAAGAAGAUACAGAAUCAACAGUUUUUAGUUAUGUUGGAGAUUUUAAUGGUCAUAGAUCAGUUUUAGACUUGUCUUUUGACCAAUUUUAUUCACUUGAAAUGUAUCCAGCUUUAUCUGAAACUUUCGGUCAAUUAUACAAAACUUCUUCAGUUUGUAGUGAAACUAGUGUUGAUUUUGUGGUAAAUAAAGCUCUACCGAAU
Long non-coding RNA from Hydra vulgaris (swiftwater hydra), 221 nucleotides. RefSeq lists it as uncharacterized. The record is from RefSeq and is a predicted model, not a curated record. NCBI's taxonomy places the organism in Eukaryota, Metazoa, Cnidaria, Hydrozoa, Anthoathecata, Hydridae.